Molecule: non-coding RNA, 410 nt
Organism: Pelobates cultripes (western spadefoot toad)
Lineage: Eukaryota; Metazoa; Chordata; Amphibia; Anura; Pelobatidae
Source: the annotation of a GenBank genome assembly
GAAAAACAAGCAUCAAAUCAGAUAAUAAAUGUUUUCAGACGGGGACAGUGCGGGAAAUUAAUCCCAGUGUUAGGCUGUGCCUCAGCAUAACACACCCCUAUUAAGGAUUAAUAAGUGUGUAGGGGUUAAUAAGAAUACCCCUCUCUGUCUCAGAGAUUUUACCUUUUAUCUGAUAUCAGCAUUGUGAAUUGUUGGUGUAGGACUCAAGUAGUUUUGCCUUGACGUAGUGGGCCAGCUUACACUUAAACGACUACUGAAGUGAUACUAAAAACCUUCCAGUUAUUUAAAUGUGCAGAUAACGUUUUUGCUGUUGUAUCUGAGCUGAUGUAUACGGUAGCCAUUUCUGCCGCCCGGGAGUAGUAGGAGUUUGAGAACAGACUUAUUGUGUGAGUUUAUAACACACCCCUUGC